CGGUAAUUCCAGCUCCAAUAGCGUAUACUAAAGUUGUUGCAGUUAAAAAGCUCGUAGUUGGAUUUCUGCGGGGACGGAGCGGCCGGUCGCAACUUGCGACUCGCGCUAGCGCUUUCCCCGCAUCCUGCCGCGAACCGUGCUACCAUUAGUUUGGUGGCGCUGGGGAUCGGCUCGAUUACUUUGAGAAAAAUAGAGUGUUCAAAGCAGGCCACACGCCUUGGAUAAGUUAGCAUGGAAUAAUGACUAAGGACUUCGGUUCUAUUUUGUUGGUGUUCGGGACUGAAGUAAUGAUUGAUAGGGACAGUUGGGGCGGUCUGUAUUCCAAAGCGAGAGGUGAAAUUCUUAGACCUUCGGAAGACAAACAGCUGCGAAAGCGUUCCGCAAGGAUGUUCCCUUUGAUCAAGAACGAAGGUUGGGGGAUCGAAGACGAUCAGAUACCGUCGUAGUCUCAACUAUAAACUAUACCAGCUAGGGAUCGGUCAACGUUUAAUUAUUCGACUUGAUCGGCACCUUAUGAGAAAUCAAAGCAUCUGGGUUCCGGGGGAGUAUGGUCGCAAGGCUGAAACUUAAAGGAAUUGACGGAAGGGCACCACCAGCCGUGGAGCCUGUGGCUUAAUUUGACUCAACACGGGAAAACUUACCAGGUCCAGACAUAGUAAGGAUUGACAGAUUGAUAGCUCUUUCUUGAUUCUGUGGGUGGUGGUGCAUGGCCGUUCUUAGUUGGUGGAGUGAUUUGUCUGGUUAAUUCCGUUAACGAACGAGACCCCAGCCUGCUAAAUAGCGCGGCUGAGCUUUGCUCGGUGCGAGCUUCUUAGAGGGACUAUGAUGCGCGAUAGCACAUGGAAGUUUGGGGCAAUAACAGGUCUGUGAUGCCCUUAGAUGUUCUGGGCCGCACACGGGCUACACUGGCGCCUGCAACGAGCAUAUCAGCUGGCCCGAGAGGGUCUUGGCUAAUCUUUUGAACCGGCGCCGUGCUUGGGAUUGACCUUUGCAAUUGUUGGUCAUGCAACGAGGAAUGCCUUGUAAACGCGAGUCAUCAGCUCGCAUUGAAUACGUCCCUGCCCUUUGUACACACCGCCCGUCGCUCCUACCGAUGAAUGUUCCGAUGAAAUUUUCGGAGAGCGCCAGAGAACGGGGCUCUGCCUUGCAGAUCUGGAGGCUCAAAGUCACUUAAAUCUGAACAUUUCGAGGAAGGAGAAGUCGUAACAAGGUAACC
This 1216-nucleotide ribosomal RNA is filed under the name uncultured Rhizaria. RNAcentral describes it as "SSU rRNA". It matches the Rfam family "Eukaryotic small subunit ribosomal RNA", at positions 577 to 1804 of the family's 1831-position model. The record is from RNAcentral.